Molecule: non-coding RNA, 73 nt
Organism: Kocuria sp. SM24M-10
Lineage: Bacteria; Bacillati; Actinomycetota; Actinomycetes; Micrococcales; Micrococcaceae
Source: Rfam
GCGGCAGUAGCUCAGCUGGUAGAGCGCCACCUUGCCAUGGUGGAGGUCGCGGGUUCGACUCCCGUCUGCCGCU